GGGUUGUGAGGUUAAGCGACUAAGCGUACACGGUGGAUGCCCUGGCAGUCAGAGGCGAUGAAGGACGUGCUAAUCUGCGAUAAGCGUCGGUAAGGUGAUAUGAACCGUUAUAACCGGCGAUUUCCGAAUGGGGAAACCCAGUGUGUUUCGACACACUAUCAUUAACUGAAUCCAUAGGUUAAUGAGGCGAACCGGGGGAACUGAAACAUCUAAGUACCCCGAGGAAAAGAAAUCAACCGAGAUUCCCCCAGUAGCGGCGAGCGAACGGGGAGGAGCCCAGAGCCUGAAUCAGUGUGUGUGUUAGUGGAAGCGUCUGGAAAGGCGCGCGAUACAGGGUGACAGCCCCGUACACAAAAAUGCACAUGCUGUGAGCUCGAUGAGUAGGGCGGGACACGUGGUAUCCUGUCUGAAUAUGGGGGGACCAUCCUCCAAGGCUAAAUACUCCUGACUGACCGAUAGUGAACCAGUACCGUGAGGGAAAGGCGAAAAGAACCCCGGCGAGGGGAGUGAAAAAGAACCUGAAACCGUGUACGUACAAGCAGUGGGAGCACGCUUAGGCGUGUGACUGCGUACCUUUUGUAUAAUGGGUCAGCGACUUAUAUUCUGUAGCAAGGUUAACCGAAUAGGGGAGCCGAAGGGAAACCGAGUCUUAACUGGGCGUUAAGUUGCAGGGUAUAGACCCGAAACCCGGUGAUCUAGCCAUGGGCAGGUUGAAGGUUGGGUAACACUAACUGGAGGACCGAACCGACUAAUGUUGAAAAAUUAGCGGAUGACUUGUGGCUGGGGGUGAAAGGCCAAUCAAACCGGGAGAUAGCUGGUUCUCCCCGAAAGCUAUUUAGGUAGCGCCUCGUGAAUUCAUCUCCGGGGGUAGAGCACUGUUUCGGCAAGGGGGUCAUCCCGACUUACCAACCCGAUGCAAACUGCGAAUACCGGAGAAUGUUAUCACGGGAGACACACGGCGGGUGCUAACGUCCGUCGUGAAGAGGGAAACAACCCAGACCGCCAGCUAAGGUCCCAAAGUCAUGGUUAAGUGGGAAACGAUGUGGGAAGGCCCAGACAGCCAGGAUGUUGGCUUAGAAGCAGCCAUCAUUUAAAGAAAGCGUAAUAGCUCACUGGUCGAGUCGGCCUGCGCGGAAGAUGUAACGGGGCUAAACCAUGCACCGAAGCUGCGGCAGCGACGCUGAUGCGUUGUUGGGUAGGGGAGCGUUCUGUAAGCCUGCGAAGGUGUGCUGUGAGGCAUGCUGGAGGUAUCAGAAGUGCGAAUGCUGACAUAAGUAACGAUAAAGCGGGUGAAAAGCCCGCUCGCCGGAAGACCAAGGGUUCCUGUCCAACGUUAAUCGGGGCAGGGUGAGUCGACCCCUAAGGCGAGGCCGAAAGGCGUAGUCGAUGGGAAACAGGUUAAUAUUCCUGUACUUGGUGUUACUGCGAAGGGGGGACGGAGAAGGCUAUGUUGGCCGGGCGACGGUUGUCCCGGUUUAAGCGUGUAGGCUGGUUUUCCAGGCAAAUCCGGAAAAUCAAGGCUGAGGCGUGAUGACGAGGCACUACGGUGCUGAAGCAACAAAUGCCCUGCUUCCAGGAAAAGCCUCUAAGCAUCAGGUAACAUCAAAUCGUACCCCAAACCGACACAGGUGGUCAGGUAGAGAAUACCAAGGCGCUUGAGAGAACUCGGGUGAAGGAACUAGGCAAAAUGGUGCCGUAACUUCGGGAGAAGGCACGCUGAUAUGUAGGUGAGGUCCCUUGCGGAUGGAGCUGAAAUCAGUCGAAGAUACCAGCUGGCUGCAACUGUUUAUUAAAAACACAGCACUGUGCAAACACGAAAGUGGACGUAUACGGUGUGACGCCUGCCCGGUGCCGGAAGGUUAAUUGAUGGGGUUAGCGGUAACGCGAAGCUCUUGAUCGAAGCCCCGGUAAACGGCGGCCGUAACUAUAACGGUCCUAAGGUAGCGAAAUUCCUUGUCGGGUAAGUUCCGACCUGCACGAAUGGCGUAAUGAUGGCCAGGCUGUCUCCACCCGAGACUCAGUGAAAUUGAACUCGCUGUGAAGAUGCAGUGUACCCGCGGCAAGACGGAAAGACCCCGUGAACCUUUACUAUAGCUUGACACUGAACAUUGAGCCUUGAUGUGUAGGAUAGGUGGGAGGCUUUGAAGUGUGGACGCCAGUCUGCAUGGAGCCGACCUUGAAAUACCACCCUUUAAUGUUUGAUGUUCUAACGUUGACCCGUAAUCCGGGUUGCGGACAGUGUCUGGUGGGUAGUUUGACUGGGGCGGUCUCCUCCUAAAGAGUAACGGAGGAGCACGAAGGUUGGCUAAUCCUGGUCGGACAUCAGGAGGUUAGUGCAAUGGCAUAAGCCAGCUUGACUGCGAGCGUGACGGCGCGAGCAGGUGCGAAAGCAGGUCAUAGUGAUCCGGUGGUUCUGAAUGGAAGGGCCAUCGCUCAACGGAUAAAAGGUACUCCGGGGAUAACAGGCUGAUACCGCCCAAGAGUUCAUAUCGACGGCGGUGUUUGGCACCUCGAUGUCGGCUCAUCACAUCCUGGGGCUGAAGUAGGUCCCAAGGGUAUGGCUGUUCGCCAUUUAAAGUGGUACGCGAGCUGGGUUUAGAACGUCGUGAGACAGUUCGGUCCCUAUCUGCCGUGGGCGCUGGAGAACUGAGGGGGGCUGCUCCUAGUACGAGAGGACCGGAGUGGACGCAUCACUGGUGUUCGGGUUGUCAUGCCAAUGGCACUGCCCGGUAGCUAAAUGCGGAAGAGAUAAGUGCUGAAAGCAUCUAAGCACGAAACUUGCCCCGAGAUGAGUUCUCCCUGACUCCUUGAGAGUCCUGAAGGAACGUUGAAGACGACGACGUUGAUAGGCCGGGUGUGUAAGCGCAGCGAUGCGUUGAGCUAACCGGUACUAAUGAACCGUGAGGCUUAACCUUACAACGCCGAAG
RNAcentral lists this ribosomal RNA (2927 nucleotides) under Escherichia coli. RNAcentral's name for it is "partial 23S ribosomal RNA". It matches the Rfam family "Bacterial large subunit ribosomal RNA". The record is from RNAcentral. Lineage: Bacteria; Pseudomonadati; Pseudomonadota; Gammaproteobacteria; Enterobacterales; Enterobacteriaceae.